Molecule: non-coding RNA, 76 nt
Organism: Trichonephila inaurata madagascariensis
Lineage: Eukaryota; Metazoa; Arthropoda; Arachnida; Araneae; Nephilidae
Source: the annotation of a GenBank genome assembly
GCCCCUACCCAGUAUGGUGGUUAUGACUAUCGGCUUGUAUUCGAGUGGGCUCGGGUUCGAAUCCCGAAUAAAGGCA